CUACGGGGGGCUGCAGUGGGGAAUCUUAGACAAUGGGCGCAAGCCUGAUCUAGCCAUGCCGCGUGAGUGACGAAGGCCUUAGGGUCGUAAAGCUCUUUCGCUGGGGAAGAUAAUGACGGUACCCAGUAAAGAAACCCCGGCUAACUCCGUGCCAGCAGCCGCGGUAAUACGGAGGGGGUUAGCGUUGUUCGGAAUUACUGGGCGUAAAGGGUGCGUAGGCGGUCUGUUAAGCUGGAUGUGAAAUCCCGGGGCUCAACCCCGGAACUGCAUCCGGAACUGGCAGACUAGAGACCAGGAGGGGAGAGGAGAAUUCAUGGUGUAGCGGUGAAAUGCGUUGAUAUCAUGAAGAAUACCGGUGGCGAAGGCGCCUCUCUGGAAUGGUUCUGACGCUGAUGCACGAAAGCGUGGGGAGCAAACAGGAUUAGAUACCCCUGUAGUC
Molecule: ribosomal RNA, 439 nt
Filed under: uncultured bacterium
Lineage: Bacteria
Description: partial 16S ribosomal RNA
Rfam family: Bacterial small subunit ribosomal RNA
Source: RNAcentral